Molecule: ribosomal RNA, 266 nt
Filed under: uncultured prokaryote
Description: partial 16S ribosomal RNA
Rfam family: Bacterial small subunit ribosomal RNA
Source: RNAcentral
UACGGAGGAUCCGAGCGUUAUCCGGAUUUAUUGGGUUUAAAGGGUGCGCAGGCGGGAUGUUAAGUCGGCGGUGAAAUUUUGCAGCUCAACUGUAAAAGUGCCUUCGAUACUGGCUUCCUUGAGUGUGGAUGAAGUAGGAGGAAUUUGUGGUGUAGCGGUGAAAUGCUUAGAUAUCACGAGGAACUCCGAUUGCGCAGGCAGCUUACUAAACCACUACUGACGCUCAUGCACGAAGGCGUGGGGAGUCAAACAGGAUUAGAUACCCG